This 397-nucleotide ribosomal RNA is filed under the name uncultured fungus. Its description in RNAcentral is "SSU rRNA". It matches the Rfam family "Eukaryotic small subunit ribosomal RNA", at positions 30 to 433 of the family's 1831-position model. Lineage: Eukaryota; Fungi. The record is from RNAcentral.
GCUUGUCUCAAAGAUUAAGCCAUGCAUGUCUAAGUAUACGCAAAUUAUACUGUGAAACUGCGAAUGGCUCAUUAAAUCAGUUAUAGUUUAUUUGAUGUUUCUUGCUACAUGGAUAACUGUGGUAAUUCUAGAGCUAAUACAUGCGUAAAAAGCCCCGACUUCUGGAAGGGGUGUAUUUAUUAGAUAAAAACCAUCCUCCUCGGAGUUUGGCGAUUCAUAAUAACUUCUCGAAUCGCACGGCCUUGUGCUGGCGAUGCUUCAUUCAAAUAUCUGCCCUAUCAACUGUCGAUGGUAGGAUAGAGGCCUACCAUGGUUGCAACGGGUAACGGGGAAUAAGGGUUCGAUUCCGGAGAGGGAGCCUGAGAAACGGCUACCACAUCCAAGGAAGGCAGCAGGC